CAGUUUUGUGCUAAAUUCAAAUUUCCCUAAGUUUGACCAAUAUUUUAGGAAAAAAUAUUAACAUCUACAAGUUCAACUAAAUGCAAUACCAGGACAUAGUUCUUGGAGAAUUUAAUAAAACUAGGUUGAUAUGGUAAUGCUGAUGUGUCUUUCUGUAAACUUGGUCAAAAUUAAGAGAGGUUUGACUUAGGACAAAACUAA
This 201-nucleotide microRNA precursor is filed under the name Zea mays. RNAcentral's name for it is "MIR1435 microRNA precursor family". It matches the Rfam family "MIR1435 microRNA precursor family". The record is from Rfam by way of RNAcentral. Lineage: Eukaryota; Viridiplantae; Streptophyta; Magnoliopsida; Poales; Poaceae.